RNAcentral lists this ribosomal RNA (496 nucleotides) under uncultured bacterium. RNAcentral describes it as "partial 16S ribosomal RNA". It matches the Rfam family "Bacterial small subunit ribosomal RNA", at positions 29 to 507 of the family's 1533-position model. The record is from RNAcentral.
AUGCACGCUGGCGGCGUGCCUAAUACAUGCAAGUCGAGCGAACAGACGAGGAGCUUGCUCCUCUGACGUUAGCGGCGGACGGGUGAGUAACACGUGGAUAACCUACCUAUAAGACUGGGAUAACUUCGGGAAACCGGAGCUAAUACCGGAUAAUAUAUUGAACCGCCUGGUUCAAUAGUGAAAGACGGUUUUGCUGUCACUUAUAGAUGGAUCCGCGCCGCAUUAGCUAGUUGGUAAGGUAACGGCUUACCAAGGCAACGAUGCGUAGCCGACCUGAGAGGGUGAUCGGCCACACUGGAACUGAGACACGGUCCAGACUCCUAGGGGAGGCAGCAGUAGGGAAUCUUACGCAAUGGGCGAAAGCCUGACGGAGCAACGCCGCGUGAGUGAUGAAGGUCUUCGGAUCGUAAAACUCUGUUAUUAGGGAAGAACAAAUGUGUAAGUAACUAUGCACGUCUUGACGGUACCUAAUCAGAAAGCCACGGCUAACUCCGUG